CAGCCGCGUGGUUCUUGAGGCACUCGCGGUACCUGACGGGCUUCUUGAAAUCGUCGUCGGCGAUCUGGGUGGCGGAAGAAGGGAUGAUAAUGUGGUUGUGGGAUGGCGGUGGAUGAUGAUGAUGGUGAUGGAUCAUGUGGCCAUGCCCACCAUAGGUGCUGUUCAGUGGGAGCGGCAUCUCAUCACCUUCUUCACUUGGAACCUCCAUUAGAUCUUUCCUCUUUUGUGCGUGUGUCACUUGUUUGGAGACCAAAAGGACCACCAGAUUAGGGUGCUAACACCAAUGAUUAAACCUUAAAAGUCAUGCCCUCACUUGUAAAUUUUCCUAUGCGCGCGCUAGCUGUCUUUUUUUUGGGGGGGUGUCAAGCAACGACACUAUAUAUAAAUAUGGGAAUAAAUCACUGAUUCUUAAUUCAAACUGAGUUUGAUUUCAAGAGGCAGAAAUUAAUUAAGGUUAACUUAUUGGGUUGUGGGAUUUAUGGACUGGGAGGAGAAACCAAGAACAAAAUACUAGAUAUUUGUUAGUAGGGAAUGACAGUGAAUCAACCUGCGUUUUUCUUUCUACACAUUGUAAACAUGUUUUCUUGAAUAAAGGGAAGUAAGGCAGAGAUUAGUUUUGUCUGAAAGAAUAGUGUUGAAGGGAAAAAUAAAUAAAGUCAUGUAGUAUAUAUAUGAGGUUCAAGUAANAAUGAUGUUCACGAGCCAGUUUUAUUAUUUCAAACUCCAAACGAAAUGAUGUUUGAAACUCAGUUAUGGUAUUUUAAGCUCUAAAUGAGACGAUGCACAAAAGACCUGUUAUGAUUUUUCAAGCUCCAUACAAGAUGAUGGUUAGAAGUUAGUUAUGAUCUCACAAGCUUCAGAUUGCAUAAUCUCACAAGUCAGCCCUGGUGUUUCUAACUCCUACUGAAAAUGAUGUUUAGAAGUGAGUUAUGAUAUUUAAAGCAUCAGGUAGUGUUGUUGAAACGACUGACGCAUUAAAUCAGAUAUUGUAUUUUAGGGUCCAGACGAGAUAAUGCUAAAAAAUUUGGUGUUCAAAAGUCAGAUAUCGUCUUCGAGUUCUUGAUGAUCAUCUGGUCUUACAGACUUCAGAUGAGAUGAUGUUUAGAUGACAAAUGAGAUCUUAAAUUAAUUCUUAUCCGUCAAUAUAGAAAAAUUGUACAAAAUUUAUACUCCCUCCGUCCGCAAUAUCGUUUUCACAUUUGCCAUUUCGAUCUGUCCGCGAUAUCGCGAAAUGGCAAAUGUGGAAACGAUAUCGCGGACGGACCGAAGUGUAUUUUUAUCAUUCUAGCAAAAAGUUAAUAUUUAAUUGACGAAUAUAGUUGAAAUUAGUACUACCUCCGUCCACCAAAAGUAUGACACUUUGGAGGGACAUACGUUUUAAGAAAAUUGGUGGUGAUUUUUCAAAAGCAGAGACUAAACAUCCGCCAAAUGGACAAAUGGUCCCACCAAAAUUGAAAUGAUAGUUGAGAUUGAAUUAAAAGUGAUUUUUUUUUGUAAAUAAAGAGUGUUUGUAGAGAUAAAAAAAAGUAAUACGGUCAUGCCUUAAAAUGAAAAGUGCCAUAAUUUUUGUGGACACUCAAAAUAACAAAAGUAUCGUACUUUUCGUGGUCGAAGCGAAUAUAAUAUAAACUUUAUUACAUCUAAUUAAAUUAAUUAAAAGAUAAUUAUAUUAUAUAAACCAAUAUAAAUAAUUUAAAUUAUAAUUUAAAGUCACGUCGAAUUUCUACAGGUUAUACUUCUACUAAAUAAGACACCAACAGUAAAAUAAAGGAUUUCAUGUGACAUGCAUCCCCAAACUUAAAACUAAUUGCGUCAAGAAGAGAAAACCAUAUCAUCAAAUUAGGAGGUGGAGAAUAACAAGCUUGACAUCCUUGAAAUAAAUCCAUUCCUCGCUAAAAUGGAUUUACAAUUGGUACCAAACUCCAACUACUAAAAACUUACUCAAACCCCAGUUUUAAUUUCUUCAACUACAUAAGAACACCAUUAUUGUCAAACACAUUAUAAAGCUACUCCUGAAACGCAGAUUCACGACAUAAAAGUCCAAAUCUAACAGAUCCCAAUAUAUUCCCCCACCCAAAAUAAAAAUGUAGGAACAGAAUAGAAUAGAAAUAAACAAAAGGGAAAAGGUAAUAACUUUCUGCAGCAAAAACAGUAGUAUUAAUUAAUUAAUUAGUCCCUAAACUCUGAUGUUGAGGGUCAGAUUGAAGAAGGGUCUUCUUUGCAAGAGUAUGCUUGUUGUUGUGCAUCCAUACCUUCAAAACUCUUCUCUUGACUCCAACUUCUUGGCAGAACUGCUGCACCACUCCUUCUUCCUGCUUCUGUAUUUUCCACCCAACUUUCUCUGCAAAGUUGAGCAUCUUCUCCUUCUGCUCCUGACUGAACUUGGUUCUGAACCUCUUCUUCACCAGCUGCGGCGCUCUGCCGCCGUCCUGCUCGUCGGACUCGGAGGGGCCGCCGCUGUUGUAGGAGUGCAUAAUCAUCUGGUGUGGCCUGUAGCCCUUGUGCUGGUGGUGGUGGUGGCCCAGGAAGAGCUUGCGGCCAAUCCUGGGGUAGCAGCCGUCGCAGGGGUCACCGUCGGCCUCCUUGCGGUGGAAGUUGCGGUGGCAGCCGCAGGCGGAGCAGGUAAGGGCGUCGAGGUCGGCGGUGGGCAUGAACUCGCCGCAGCCGUCGGUGGCGUUGCCGCCCAUCGCAGCCGCGUGGUUCUUGAGGCACUCGCGGUACCUGACGGGCUUCUUGAAAUCGUCGUCGGCGAUCUGGGUGGCGGAAGAAGGGAUGAUAAUGUGGUUGUGGGAUGGCGGUGGAUGAUGAUGAUGGUGAUGGAUCAUGUGGCCAUGCCCACCAUAGGUGCUGUUCAGUGGGAGCGGCAUCUCAUCACCUUCUUCACUUGGAACCUCCAUUAGAUUCUUCCUCUUUUGUGCGUGUGUCACUUGUUUGGAGACCAAAAGGACCACCAGAUUAGGGUGCUAACACCAAUGAUUAAACCUUAAAAGUCAUGCCCUCACUUGUAAAUUUUCCUAUGCGCGCGCUGUCUUUUUUUUGGGGGGUGUCAAGCAACGACACUACAUAUAAAUAUGGGAAUAAAUCACUGUGUUGUUGACACAAAUUCUUAAUUCAAACUGAGUUUGAUUUUAAGAGGCAGAAAUUAAUUAAGGUUAACUUAUUGGGUUGUGGGAUUUAUGGACUGGGAGGAGAAACCAAGAACAAAAUACUAUAUUUGUUAGUAGGGAAUGACAGUGAAUCAACCUGCGUUUUUCUUUCUACACAUUGUAAACAUGUUUUCUUGAAUAAAGGGAAGUAAGGCAGAGAUUAGUUUUGUCUGAAAGAAUAGUGUUGAAGGGAAAAAUAAAUAAAGUCAUGUAGUAUAUAUAUGAGGUUCAAGAACUAUAACUCACUGCCUGAAAUUUCUGCUUUCGAAAAACUUGAACAAGUUGAAACACCUUGCAAUAAUGCAAAUGAGAGAAGGGUUUCGUUUGUUAGCGCAAGCAAAUUGGAGUUAAGUUUUGGGUGAUGAACAAGUGUUUGUAGAGAGAGAGGGGUAGGGGGGGUUGAAGGCUGUUUUGAGAAUGGAAUGAAGCACUAAACAUGAGCUUAUAGAAGUAGUGAGCCAAAAAAAGGGGUUGAUAGGGAAAGAGAUAGAGAGCGUGAGAUAGAGAAAGGAAAAAUAAAAGCAAAAUUUAUUUUCUACUUUAUUUUUUUAACAGUAAGGAAGUUAGGGUGUUUUAGAGAGGGAAAAAUUAAAGUGGGGUGGGUUGCUUUGCUUGCACUACUACCAGGCAUCAAGUUUACGCCACAUAGAGAGCAGUGUGUCAGAGAGUGGAGAAGGACAAAGAAAGUUGUCGAUUUGUGAAUUCACUGUGCGUAUUUAUUUGUUAGAGAGAGAGAGAGAGAAUCCCACAAUGGAAUUCUGGAAAAGAAACGACUUUGAAAUAGAUCUUAGCAAGAUAAAAGCAAAAGUGGCGCAAGAAUUUAACUUUAGUUCAUAAUCAUACUAAUAAACUUGAGCUGAACAACAUAC
This 4015-nucleotide long non-coding RNA is filed under the name Salvia miltiorrhiza (redroot sage). Its description in RNAcentral is "long non-coding RNA (SMIL_LNC009143)". Lineage: Eukaryota; Viridiplantae; Streptophyta; Magnoliopsida; Lamiales; Lamiaceae. The record is from RNAcentral.